Eucalyptus grandis is the source of this 211-nucleotide long non-coding RNA. RefSeq lists it as uncharacterized. The record is from RefSeq and is a predicted model, not a curated record. The transcript is spliced from 3 exons. Lineage: Eukaryota; Viridiplantae; Streptophyta; Magnoliopsida; Myrtales; Myrtaceae.
CUUUUGUAGGGCCUGACCUGUUACCAGCUGCUUCAUGCACUAGUUACGCAAAAGAACAUAUGCAUCCACCUUGUAACGCUGGAAUCCUGGAGCAAGCUGGCCAUUGCUUUUGCUAAUGAGAAAACGCUGUUUAUGUUGAAUGCAUCUCACGAGAAAUCCUUGGCUCAAACACUUGUUCUUUCUGUAUCUGGCUUUAGAGAUUCUGAGCCAG